GCUCUGUUUGCUAACAUUCCUCAUUCAAAGCCUUGUUAACUGCCAGACGGGAGGAACACGCGACUCCAUGGGAAACCCACAUGGCCUCCCUAUUGUGGCAGGGCCCCCGAUAGGCUCUGAUUUUUGUGACAAGAGGGAGCAAAAGGAAGAGAUACGUUAUAGAAAAGAAAAAAAAAAAAGAAGCGGUUAGCCCAGCGAACCAGUAGGAGUGAGGAAAGUGGACAGAUUUGUUUGGAAAAUUCUCCCUCCGGAGAGACGCACGGACGUGUAGGGGAAGGCGUAUGAGGCUUUUCAGGGACUAAGAGUGGGGGGCUCCUGUCGGCGUGCCCGCCUACUCCUUGCAGGAAGAGGAGAAGCUGAGCUCCAUCUCUGCCCUUCUCCUCCACAGGAAGGCUAUGUGGGCUGCUGCCUCCUGAUGGCUCCAUCAGUUAAAUGCCAGAGAUUUACUCCGGAUAGGCGAUUACCCCGGUGUCUCCAAAGCCAUCAAAGUCUCAGGGGCUUCGAGGUGGAGAAACGCGAGAGGAGGCGAACCGGCAGACGGCGGAGCACCAGCACCGCAGAGGGAAGUGACCCGCCUGCUCCAGGUGACACACAGGAAGUACUCCAACUACUUUCUCUGAUUCAAAACACUUAUAUAUUUGUGUUGAUUUUGGAAGAAAAACUCCAAGUUUUUGUAAUAAAAACCCCUCACAGUCCUGGACAUUUUACAGUUUUUAGUCAGGUGUGUGCGUACAGUAUUGUCUGUUUUGAGUUCCUGCAGGUCAAAGUUCUACCCGGUAACAGGAGACGGCAGAUAAACUGUCCUUUGGGGUGA
RNAcentral lists this long non-coding RNA (814 nucleotides) under Oryzias javanicus (javanese ricefish). RNAcentral describes it as "lncRNA (ENSOJAG00000013641.1)". Lineage: Eukaryota; Metazoa; Chordata; Actinopteri; Beloniformes; Adrianichthyidae. The record is from RNAcentral.